Octodon degus (degu) is the source of this 898-nucleotide long non-coding RNA. RefSeq lists it as uncharacterized. The transcript is spliced from 3 exons. NCBI's taxonomy places the organism in Eukaryota, Metazoa, Chordata, Mammalia, Rodentia, Octodontidae. The record is from RefSeq and is a predicted model, not a curated record.
UUCCACCGUGGGUCCCAAAGGUCUCUGCUCGUCAGCAAAGGCCAGAGCUGCAGGCUCGGCUGGAGGUGUGGCACCCUACAAUAAAGCCACAGGUAGAAGGGACAGAACCAGGGCAGAAGAAGGAAGAAGAAAGGCAAAAUUCACCUCCACACGCAUAGCCACAGUCACGUGAUCAGGUGGCACUGGUUUCCAAGCAGCUGAUCGGAGCGUACACAGGCACAACGGUGAGAUGCAUCAAACAUUUGUAAUAUCCAAGACAUGGAACCAACUUCCUUGUCUGCUGAUGAAGAAAAUGUAAGUGUGCACAUGGACUGUUAUUCAGCCUUGAACAAGAAUUAAGUCCUGCCAUUUGCAACAACAUGGAUAAAUCUGAAGGAAGUGAAGUAAAACACACUGGGCACAGAAAGACAAAGACAGUUCCCACACCAUGUCAUUCACGUGUGAAUUAAGCAAUGUGAAGUAGGAGGUGGAAUCAUGGUUACCAGGCACUGUGAGAGGAGGACUCCAGACUGACAGGAAGAGUAAGCUGAUAGCUACUGUACAACUAGACGACCGUAAUUCCUAACAAUGUGUUUAAAAGCUACUGAGCACGUAGACUUCACUAUGCAUACCGUAACCCGCAUGCUCCUUAGCCUCAUUACCCAUCCCACAGCGAGUGUGUAUCUCAAGGCAUCAUGGUAGAAACCACACCAGCAUAGUCUGUAUUUGCUUACAGCAAAUAAAAUUCAACCGGAGCCAUUUCCUGCCCUAAGCAUUCUGUCAAACUUCUCUUUCACUUAUAUCCCUCCCUGUUGAGACACAGACUAGUAAUUUAAGGUGCUGAACAAAAGACGCCCCCCAAGAGGAAAAAGGCUCAGCAAGUCCAGGCAACCAGGUACCCCCGCUGCGCCCCUCGGGC